GGAGCGAACGCUGGCGGCAGGCCUAAUACAUGCAAGUCGAACGGAUCCUUCGGGAUUAGUGGCGGACGGGUGAGUAACACGUGGGAACAUACCCUUCGGUACGGAACAACUCGGGGAAACGCGAGCUAAUACCGUAUACGCCUUGGCGGGGAAAGAUUGUAUCGCCGAAGGAUUGGCCCGCGUCCGAUUAGCUAGUUGGUGAGGUAAUGGCUCACCAAGGCGACGAUCGGUAGCU
RNAcentral lists this ribosomal RNA (235 nucleotides) under uncultured bacterium. Its description in RNAcentral is "partial small subunit ribosomal RNA". It matches the Rfam family "Bacterial small subunit ribosomal RNA", at positions 27 to 288 of the family's 1533-position model. The record is from RNAcentral.